GGGUGCGAUCAUACCGACACUACUAAUGCACCGGAUCCCAUCAAAACUCCGCAGUUAAACGUGCUUGAACGAAAGUAUUACUAAGUUGGAUGACCACUAAGAAGUCCUCGUGUUACACCCC
This 121-nucleotide ribosomal RNA is filed under the name Cucumis melo (muskmelon). RNAcentral also lists the same sequence under 1 other name. Lineage: Eukaryota; Viridiplantae; Streptophyta; Magnoliopsida; Cucurbitales; Cucurbitaceae. The record is from RNAcentral.